AUACGGAGGGUGCAAGCGUUAUUCGGAAUCACUGGGCGUAAAGGACGCGUAGGCGGGUUGGCAAGUCAGAUGUGAAAUCCUACAGCUUAACUGUAGAACUGCAUUUGAAACUGCUAACCUAGAGUAUGGGAGGGGGAGAUGGAAUUAGUGGUGUAGGGGUAAAAUCCGUAGAUAUCACUAGGAAUACCGAAAGCGAAGGCGAUCUGCUGGGACAUUACUGACGCUGAGGCGUGAAAGCGUGGGGAGCAAACAGGAUUAGAUACCCGAGUAGUCC
RNAcentral lists this ribosomal RNA (274 nucleotides) under uncultured bacterium. RNAcentral's name for it is "partial 16S ribosomal RNA". It matches the Rfam family "Bacterial small subunit ribosomal RNA", at positions 523 to 796 of the family's 1533-position model. The record is from RNAcentral.